Molecule: small RNA, 838 nt
Filed under: Vigna angularis var. angularis
Lineage: Eukaryota; Viridiplantae; Streptophyta; Magnoliopsida; Fabales; Fabaceae
Description: Non-protein coding transcript
Source: RNAcentral
CUUGGUUUGCUAAAUACUGAGAUGCCCAUGUGAUAUUAAACGUACCAUCAUUGUAUAUGACUAUAUGCAUAAUGACAUGCAGUGUGGUCAUGUACAAAAAUUGACCCAUUAUAUUCAUUCUGUUCACUUCCACCUACCUACCUGUCUCAACCCUAUCUCCACUCUCCUUAACUUAACCUCUCUGCAUUUAAUUUGGAAUCCCACUGAAACAGCAAUGCCCAUCCUUUCAGUCUCUUUCUUCAAAUCAUCUCCUAUUCAUGGCCCACCAUAAAAAUUUCGUAACUUCAUCAAAUUUCUUCUCUCACCCCAUCAAAACCUUCCGUUCUGGAAAUGAUGAAUGAUGGAAUGGAGGAAGUUGCCUUCGUUUAACCUUAAUCAUUUAGUCCGUUUUCCAACCCUUAAUAGUGAAAGCAUUCCCGUUUGUCUCUGACCCUCACAGCAGCCCAAUUAUCAGACCAGCACAGCAGCAAAACAUCAGAUUAGGGGUUUGUUCUCUGCUGUUUGGAUUAGGAGUUUCUUAAAACGUGCACAGAAGGGUUAACUGCAAGGUGAGAGGGGAAUUAAGCUCUACAAGUUCCAUAACUUCCUCAAUGAACAUCUGCAUAAGUGAGUUGAAGUCAAUAAGCUGUAAUACUUCUAAAAGCACAUGUUAAUGCUUGUCAAAGGUUGCUGAUUCCUGAAUAUCUUUUGUUUGAGCAAUGUUAUGAUAUGUUGGACCUUAACCGGGUUUAAGUAUUAGAAACGUUUCAGCGUAACUCAACCCCACAGAGUUAGGCACCUUAUAUUAUAAUUUGAUCUCUCUUUAAAACUUCCAACACACUCCUUCACGACGAGGUAU